AUCCUUUGUGAGAUCUGGUUUUACUGAAAUCUCAGAAGGGAGUUUUUUAUUCACACCAUCGCUGCAGCUCUUUCUGUUUUCAAAGGAGGAGGUUGGUU
This 98-nucleotide small RNA is filed under the name Pongo abelii (Sumatran orangutan). Its description in RNAcentral is "processed transcript". Lineage: Eukaryota; Metazoa; Chordata; Mammalia; Primates; Hominidae. The record is from RNAcentral.